RNAcentral lists this ribosomal RNA (506 nucleotides) under uncultured bacterium. RNAcentral describes it as "partial 16S ribosomal RNA". It matches the Rfam family "Bacterial small subunit ribosomal RNA", at positions 28 to 507 of the family's 1533-position model. The record is from RNAcentral.
GACGAACGCUGGCGGCGUGCUUAACACAUGCAAGUCGAACGGUGAAGGGACUGGUUUUGCUGGUCCUGGAUGAGUGGCGAACGGGUGAGUAACACGUGAGUAACCUGCCCCCUUCUUCUGGAUAACCGCAUGAAAGUGUGGCUAAUACGGGAUAUUCUGGGCCUGUCGCAUGGUGGGCCUGGGAAAGAUUGCGCCUUCUUUGGUGUUUUUGGUGGGGGAUGGGCUCGCGGCCUAUCAGCCUGUUGGUGUGGUGAUGGCCUACCAAGGCGGUGACGGGUAGCCGGCCUGAGAGGGGGCACGGUCACGAUGGGACUGAGACACGGCCCAGACUCCUACGGGAGGCAGCAGUGGAGUAUAUUGCACAAUGGGCGAAAGCCUGAUGCAGCGACGCCGCGUGAGGGAUGGAGGCCUUCGGGUUGUGAACCUCUUUCGGCAGUGAAGCAGGCCUGCCUCUUUUUGUGGGUGGGUUGACGGUAGCUGGAUAGGAAGCGACGGCUAACUACGUG